Alligator mississippiensis (American alligator) is the source of this 2971-nucleotide long non-coding RNA. RefSeq lists it as uncharacterized. The record is from RefSeq and is a predicted model, not a curated record. NCBI's taxonomy places the organism in Eukaryota, Metazoa, Chordata, Crocodylia, Alligatoridae. The transcript is spliced from 2 exons.
GCUGAUCUUGUACGGCGAGCUUUAAACUAGGUUUCUCGGGGGAAGGCGAUGCAGAGGUGCAGGAGGACACUUCAACAUGAAGCCAGGUGAUGCAAGCAGGAACAACCCAGUUUUUGCCUGAGGCCCAGGGAGUGUGGUGGAGCAAAACCCCCAAGAGAAGAGAGAGAGAGAAGAAAAGUACUGGAGACGCGGGGGCCUGACGUGUGACUUCGUCAUGACACCUACUGAAGUCCUCAUAACUGAACUUUUUGUAACCAAUAUACUUAUGUGUAUUUGUGUUUGUAUUGGUUAUUAUUUGAUUCGAUCUGUUGAGGACGAUCUUUUUUCAUUGUAUGCUUUUGUGUAUACCCGGUUACCAUAUGACGAGAGAGAUGAUGACGAUUUAAACGACGUGCAUGUCCUCCAAUUCCAGCUGUGCCAUCGGCAAGGGGGCAUGUCAGAACUUAGUAGUUAAGUGCCUCGGCACAGUGAAAUUUUCUAGCACAGUGAAGCUUUUCGGCACGGUGAAAUUUCUGCUGCGGGGGACAACCCCGAUGCAGAAAAGUUCCCGCCAUCCCUAUGUAAAUACGCACACCAUUAUUGGCUGGUUCUAAAUUAUCCCUACGUGGCAACUAACAAUUGGUUCGCUAGCCGUAUAAAAGUUAGACCAGUUUCCGCCCACGUUGGAGAAUUCCGCGCCCAUCUCGGAGUGAACGUGGUGGCCCGAUCAACCACCAAUAACUCCCCGUCAUCGACUUUCCCGAUGUACCCCGUGCCCUGCAUGCUCAUUGAAUUGUUGUACUCCGUGUUCUGCAUGCUCGUUGAAUUAUCACGGACAGUUCAUCUUGGUUUAAAGAGCUCUCGUCUGGUUGCAACUGAAGUUAACUUUCUGCCUACGCUGUAUUCAUCGACGGUGUAAGUAAAGCAAUCUCUUUGUUUAACUGAUACGCUUCCGUGCCUAAUUCUACUCCAUCGGUCAAAAGUACCCGCCUGCCGUUUCGGGGCUACUGGCCGCAGCCCGGCCUACCACUCGACCGCCACAAUAGGAAGUUAUUAUGAUGAGAGAGCACCUUCAGUGGUGUGGAGAGAAAGGAAGGUGGAUUGGAUGAGGUCAAAGAAGGAGUAUGUUUAGCUUUUAAGCAUUUUAGAUGAUUAUUUAUGAUAGUUAAUUUGCUGUUCCUUUACUUUAACCUUUUCUGUACCAUUGGAACAUUUGAACAGGCCAAAAUGUCCAGACUGGCUUUUCCUGGUGUGAGUCAUCUUGAGGGAAAUGUAGUCCUGUUCUGUUUGUUUUGUCAUUGAAACAGGAGUGCUGUUUAUUCACUGUAAAUUAUUGUUAACACAUAGAUACUGUAAGAAAACUGACUGCAGCUCAGGUUUAAAUCAGAAUGUUUAAUGAUCUGACAAUGUUAGCAGAGCAAGCAUGUAUUACAGGAAGAACUGAAUCUUGCUCUUUUAAAAUGUCUGGCAACGAUUUUCUCUAAAACCAGCAGAGCGGCAGAAGAAUGAAUACUUUUAACAGGUCCUUUACGAAACUGCAUUCCCUUAGGGGAGAAAAUAUGAAUGCAUUAGGGCUGAGCAGAUUUGUUCUAAUUGCUGGGUAGAAAGUGAGAUCUGUUACUUGCAUUUGGUCUGGUUGCAGAGAGAGUAGCCUUGGUAAAAAGGAAACUGUAGAUUUAAAAUGCAGCUUUCCUAUGUUAAAGCCUUUGCUGACUUGUUCCUCGUGCAAUCCCAGGAUAGCCAAUGGCCAAGUUCCAGAGUCCAGCUGAGCUGUUCUUCCAACCACCUUUAUGCUUCUCUGGGACCAGUCAGAGACAGGCUAGUCUUUGAUGUAAGUUCAAGCAUCCUCAGAGUUAUUCUUGCUUGUGUCAAACUGCCCACUACUCCAUGGAACUGUCAUGGUGUAGCAAAACCCCCAGUUUUUCUUUUUAUUUUGAAAUACAUUCCCUCCCUUCCCCAACUAUUUCUGACUUUUUCUCUUUCUCUGUAUUCCCUAUAGAUAAGUAUGAGUGAGCUAAGACAUGGAAUAAGCUUUAGCAUUUUUGUAGCAAGCUUUUUUUUUUCCUUCUCUCUCCUUUGAUCCACUGUUUUAUAUUGUAUAAUUAUUAUAUUUAUAUUGAUUUUUACUGUGUGAUUACUGUUUUACUAAUUUUUACUGUUUUUUUUCUAUUGAUACUAUAUGAUUUAGGCCUACAUGUGUAAAUUAGCAUAAGUCAUGUCAAGUUAUGUCAAGUUUCCAUUUUGUAUGUCAAGCCUCCAUCUUGUGUCCUUUGCCCGGGUGUAACCUAUGCCUCAUGUCUAACCAGUCUCAUGUAAAUUGGUUCCUGAAUGAAUGGGGAUGAAUGAGGGUUCUUGAGAUACAAUAGCAGCAGGUCUCUACUGAAUAAUUAACUCAACAGCUGGACCAUCAGCUCAACGACCCAACCAUCACCCUGCAUUGACCAUCCCUGGCUCAAGAUUUGGAAGACAAAGACUGCUGCAGAAACCAGCUAACCCACCAUUACAGACACUGAAACUGCAUGUCCUAGCCUAGAGUGCAUAUGCUCAGUACACCAGGGGCUCACCCUUGCCUGGGCAUGCCGUUGCCACUAGGGUCAUAGAAGGUCUGCCCCUAUAAUAGGGGGCCGUGAAGACAGACCCGGUGGGAUGUCCUCUCCAUCUGGACCAGCACCAUGCCACAUCACUUAUCCACCCAGAGGCCCUGCCCGUGGCCCCCCUCUGGACAACACCUUGCUGGAGAAGACCCCAACUAGCCAUCAAGGAUCAACUCAUAGCCUGGGAUAGGUAGCUAUCACCCACCUUCCUUUCCCAAGCAAAGGACCUGGACUCUGUCCCUAUACACCUUGACUUCAAUCCCUCCACCAAACCUUUUUCUCUCCUGCUACCAUUGUGUGUGUGUGUGUGUGUGUGUGUGUGUGUGUGUGUGUAGGAACCAAUAACUUCAUGGGGCUGUGUAGUGUGUUGUCUGUUUAAUAAACCUGUUAUUUUGAAA